RNAcentral lists this ribosomal RNA (252 nucleotides) under uncultured bacterium. Its description in RNAcentral is "partial 16S ribosomal RNA". It matches the Rfam family "Bacterial small subunit ribosomal RNA", at positions 524 to 775 of the family's 1533-position model. The record is from RNAcentral.
UACAGAGGGUGCGAGCGUUAAUCGGAAUUACUGGGCGUAAAGCGUGCGUAGACGGUUAGAUAAGUCGGGUGUGAAAGCCCCGGGCUCAACCUGGGAACUGCAUUUGAGACUGCAUGGCUAGAGUAUCGAAGAGGGAAGUGGAAUUUCCGGUGUAGCGGUGAAAUGCGUAGAUAUCGGAAGGAACACCAGUGGCGAAAGCGACUUCCUGGUCGAAUACUGACGUUCAUGUGCGAAAGCGUGGGGAGCAAACAG